Molecule: ribosomal RNA, 254 nt
Filed under: uncultured bacterium
Lineage: Bacteria
Description: partial 16S ribosomal RNA
Rfam family: Bacterial small subunit ribosomal RNA
Source: RNAcentral
CACGUAGGGUGCGAGCGUUGUCCGGAAUUAUUGGGCGUAAAGAGCUCGUAGGCGGUGUGUCACGUCGGCCGUGAAAACCUGCAGCUUAACUGUGGGCGUGCGGUCGAUACGGGCAUCACUGGAGUUCGGCAGGGGAGACUGGAAUUCCUGGUGUAGCGGUGAAAUGCGCAGAUAUCAGGAGGAACACCGGUGGCGAAGGCGGGUCUCUGGGCCGUAACUGACGCUGAGGAGCGAAAGCAUGGGGAGCGAACAGG